RNAcentral lists this ribosomal RNA (810 nucleotides) under Clostridioides difficile. Its description in RNAcentral is "partial 23S ribosomal RNA". It matches the Rfam family "Bacterial large subunit ribosomal RNA", at positions 1895 to 2703 of the family's 2925-position model. The record is from RNAcentral. Lineage: Bacteria; Bacillati; Bacillota; Clostridia; Peptostreptococcales; Peptostreptococcaceae.
GCAAUCGAAGCAGUGAACUUAAGCCCCAGUAAACGGCGGCCGUAACUAUAACGGUCCUAAGGUAGCGAAAUUCCUUGUCGGGUAAGUUCCGACCCGCACGAAAGGCGUAACGAUUUGGGCACUGUCUCAACAACAGACUCGGUGAAAUUGUAAUUCCGGUGAAGAUGCCGGAUACCUGCGACAGGACGGAAAGACCCCAUGGAGCUUUACUGUAGCUUGACAUUGGGUCUUGGUACUACAUGUACAGGAUAGGUGGGAGGCUUUGAAACCAGGACGCCAGUUUUGGCGGAGCCAUCCUUGGGAUACCACCCUUGUAGUACUGGGACUCUAACCAUAGGCCAUGAAUCUGGUCUUGGGACACUGUCAGGUGGGCAGUUUGACUGGGGCGGUCGCCUCCCAAAAGGUAACGGAGGCGCUCAAAGGUUCUCUCAGUACGGUCGGAAAUCGUACGUAGAGUGUAAAGGCAAAAGAGAGCUUGAUUGCAAGACAUACAGGUCGAGCAAGGAUGAAAAUCGGACUUAGUGAUCCGGUGGUUCUGCGUGGAAGGGCCAUCGCUCAACGGAUAAAAGCUACCCUGGGGAUAACAGGCUUAUCUCCCCCAAGAGUCCACAUCGACGGGGAGGUUUGGCACCUCGAUGUCGGCUCAUCACAUCCUGGGGCUGUAGUAGGUCCCAAGGGUUGGGCUGUUCGCCCAUUAAAGUGGUACGCGAGCUGGGUUCAGAACGUCGUGAGACAGUUCGGUCCCUAUCCGUCGCAGGCGUAGGAAAUUUGAGAAGACCUGUCCUUAGUACGAGAGGACCGGGAUGGACG